UCUAUAGGUGUAGAUAUGUCUAUAGGUGUAGAUAUGUAUAUAGGUGUAGAUAUGUCUCUAGGUGUAGAUAUGUCUCUAGGUGUAGAUAUGUCUAUUAGGUGUAGAUAGUCUAUAGGUGUAGAUAUGUCUCUAGGUGUAGAUAUGUAUAUAGGUGUAGAUAUGUCUCUAGGUGUAGAUAUGUCUAUAGGUGUAGAUAUGUCUCUAGGUGUAGAUAUGUCUAUAGGUGUAGAUAUGUCUCUAGGUGUAGAUAUGUCUAUAGGUGUAGA
Molecule: non-coding RNA, 266 nt
Organism: Salvelinus sp. IW2-2015
Lineage: Eukaryota; Metazoa; Chordata; Actinopteri; Salmoniformes; Salmonidae
Source: RefSeq, a predicted model, not a curated record